AUGAUGAAAAUAUGCAUCUAUGUUUACUUCCCUUAUACAGCCCCUCUUUUAGGUGCAUGGGGCAUCCGUUACACAUGGGGCAGCUUUUUUUUGGGUGCAUGGGUCAUCCGUAACACAUGGCGCGGCCUUUUUUUUACGUGCAUGCAUGGGGCAGCCGUUUCUAGAUGUGCGGAGAUUAGUAUUUGCGUUUAUAGUGAGCAGUGGUCUGGUCUGCCUUCCGAAUUUAUUUUAUUUUUUGAGAAACCCCGCUCCUCCUAUAAUACAGAAGUUUCCUAUGUUUGCACACAAUCACAAGCCAUAUCAGUUGGUUAG
Molecule: ribosomal RNA, 312 nt
Filed under: Triticum aestivum (bread wheat)
Lineage: Eukaryota; Viridiplantae; Streptophyta; Magnoliopsida; Poales; Poaceae
Description: partial small subunit ribosomal RNA
Source: RNAcentral